UUCAAGUGAUAAUUACCUGAGGUCAACAUUAUAAAUGCUUAAGAUGUAAUUUUACAAUGCCCCCGCAAGCGAGGGCUUGGCCGAGCUUAAUGAGGCCAGGUGCGACGCGGGGGCGACAGCCCGGCCUUAGCGAGGUCCCCUCGGGAGGCGCCUUCCGCGUCACGGAGUGCCGUGACCGGGGGUAACCCUGGCCGGGCACAGGCCCGUCUGGGUUAGCCCGCCCAAUUUUGCCGAGGGCUUAGAUGAGGGCGGGUGUUACGGGCGGGCCACAGAUAA
This 276-nucleotide small nucleolar RNA is filed under the name Pyrococcus horikoshii OT3. Its description in RNAcentral is "HgcG RNA (Pab40)". It matches the Rfam family "HgcG RNA (Pab40)". Rfam says of the family: The HgcG ncRNA gene was identified computationally in AT-rich hyperthermophiles. Lineage: Archaea; Methanobacteriati; Methanobacteriota; Thermococci; Thermococcales; Thermococcaceae. The record is from Rfam by way of RNAcentral.